GAUGAAGAACGUAGCGAAAUGCGAUAAGUAAUGUGAAUUGCAGAAUUCAGUGAAUCAUCGAAUCUUUGAACGCACAUUGCGCCCCUUGGUACUCCGGGGGGCAUGCCUGUUCGAGCGUCAUUACAACCCUCAAGCUCUGCUUGGUCUUGGGCGUCACCGGUCCCCGGUGUGCCUUAAAAUCAGUGGCGGCGCCAUCUGGCUCUAAGCGUAGUACAUACUCUCGCUACAGACGUCCGGUGGAUGCUGGCCAGCAACCCCCAAUUUAUCAAGGUUGACCUCGGAUCAGGUAGGGAUACCCGCUGAACUUAAGCAUAUCAAUAAGCGGAGGA
This 329-nucleotide unclassified non-coding RNA is filed under the name soil metagenome. Its description in RNAcentral is "partial contains 5.8S ribosomal RNA, internal transcribed spacer 2, and large subunit ribosomal RNA". The stretch from base 1 to 120 matches the Rfam family "5.8S ribosomal RNA", at positions 35 to 154 of the family's 154-position model. The record is from RNAcentral.